This 1066-nucleotide long non-coding RNA is filed under the name Sorghum bicolor (sorghum). RNAcentral describes it as "long non-coding RNA (SBIC_LNC003626)". The record is from RNAcentral. Lineage: Eukaryota; Viridiplantae; Streptophyta; Magnoliopsida; Poales; Poaceae.
AAAUAUUAGCUCACAGGUAACUAAUCAUGAAGCACUAGUUGUAGAUUUUCUUUUAGACAAGUUUCUGCAAUCCUUGUUUCAACUUUAGUUUAUGUUUACUUCAUGCUUUGCCCGUAAUAGCUAUCUGGUGUGCUUGUCUUAUUGACAUGAUUGAUUACUUAAAAAAUACUCAUGGAUUUGUGUUAUGCUGAACUGAGAACACCUUAAUAUUUACUUGCAUGUUAUGGCACAUAGCCUUAAUAACCUAUCUUAUUCUAUUUUGUCAGUGAAAGAAAAUAUUAAUUUAUUCUUAUUCACUGUAGAUGGAGCAAGAUGAUUAUGUGGGACAUGAGGAUCCACCGACACAUUAUAAAUAUAAUUGUACUAAAUAUAAGGUUUGCAAAUCAAACUGAACACAUGGAUGAAAAGUAAUAUAUUAUGUUAAUUUUAGCGGAUAUCGUUAUUGCCACUUCUUUUCGACUUUCCUGACAUGUGCUUCUUUCUAGAACAAAGACAAUAUAGUACUUAUGAUAGAGUGUUAAAUUUUAUCAUAUCUUUAGUAAGUAGAUCAUUUCUACUAGAUCAUACCUUUCCCUCAAUUGACUAAUAAUUUCUAUUUAAUUAUAGGAAAAACAUAUCCACAAUGAUGUUAUGUUGGAUAAAAGCAAGUGUACUGAUAAAAUCAAGGUGCUGACUAAAUAACUCUCGGUCAUAUGAAGUCUAUCAAAUUAUUGAUCAAAUUUUUGUAUUUAAACUAGCACAUAUUACAGGUUGUGGCAAAGGAAACAUCUGCUAUUCCCUCAAAUUUUGAAGCAUCUGACUACCAAGUAAAUAUUAUUUUGGCAAUGAUAUUUUUGUUACAUUGCUUAUUUUCCACUACUGAGUUAUCUGUUUUGACUUAUAUCUAGCAGAACAAGAUCUCAAAAAGGCCUAGUGCAACAUUACCUGCUAGUGUAUAAGACACAUCACUUCAAACUUCAUAUUAUCCCUUUCUUAAUUGUUCUUACAACUGGAGUCUAAGAAUCCCCAUAUUCACUUUUGUAGAAACAUCAUUGUGGCACAACAAAUUGGUCAACUGGCAAUUCAA